Molecule: ribosomal RNA, 508 nt
Filed under: bacterium enrichment culture clone ALO1_GLFRUDD03F8RKV
Lineage: Bacteria
Description: bacterial SSU rRNA
Rfam family: Bacterial small subunit ribosomal RNA
Source: RNAcentral
GAGUUUGAUCGUGGCUCAGGAUGAACGCUGGCGGCGUGCUUAACACAUGCAAGUCGAACGAAGAGAAUAGAAAGCUUGCUUUUGUUUUCUGAGUGGCGGACGGGUGAGUAACGUGUGGGCAACCUAUCCUAAACAGGGGAAUAAUCAUUGGAAACGAUGACUAAUACCGCGUAAUGUCGCCGAAAGGCAUCUUUUGGCGAAGAGAGGAGCAAUCCGGUUUUGGAGGGGCCCGCAUCUGAUUAGCUAGUUGGUGAGAUAACAGCCCACCAAGGCAACGAUCAGUAGCCGACCUGAGAGGGUGAUCGGCCACAUUGGGACUGAGACACGGCCCAAACUCCUACGGGAGGCAGCAGUGGGGAAUAUUGCACAAUGGGCGCAAGCCUGAUGCAGCAACGCCGCGUGAAGGAAGAAGGGUUUCGGCUCGUAAACUUCUAUCGACAGGGACGAAACAAAUGACGGUACCUGAAUAAGAAGCCCCGGCUAACUACGUGCCAGCCGCCGCGGUAAG